GACGAACGCUGGCGGCGUGCUUAACACAUGCAAGUCGAACGGAAAGGCCCUGCUUUUGUGGGGUGCUCGAGUGGCGAACGGGUGAGUAACACGUGAGUAACCUGCCCUUGACUUUGGGAUAACUUCAGGAAACUGGGGCUAAUACCGGAUAGGAGCUCCUGCUGCAUGGUGGGGGUUGGAAAGUUUCGGCGGUUGGGGAUGGACUCGCGGCUUAUCAGCUUGUUGGUGGGGUAGUGGCUUACCAAGGCUUUGACGGGUAGCCGGCCUGAGAGGGUGACCGGCCACAUUGGGACUGAGAUACGGCCCAGACUCCUACGGGAGGCAGAAGUGGGGAAUAUUGCACAAUGGGCGGAAGCCUGAUGCAGCAACGCCGCGUGCGGGAUGGCGGCCUUCGGGUUGUAAACCGCUUUCGCCUGUGACGAAGCGUGAGUGACGGUAAUGGGUAAAGAAGCACCGGCUAACUACGUG
This 468-nucleotide ribosomal RNA is filed under the name uncultured bacterium. RNAcentral describes it as "partial 16S ribosomal RNA". It matches the Rfam family "Bacterial small subunit ribosomal RNA", at positions 28 to 507 of the family's 1533-position model. The record is from RNAcentral.